CAGUAGCCGCGGUAAUACGAAGGGGGCUAGCGUUGCUCGGAAUGACUGGGCGUAAAGGGCGCGUAGGCGGCGAUCAAAGUCAGGCGUGAAAUUCCUGGGCUCAACCUGGGGGCUGCGCUUGAUACUUGGUUGCUUGAGUGGGGAAGAGGGUCGUGGAAUUCCCAAUGUAGAGGUGAAAUUCGUAGAUAUUCGGAAGAACACCAGUGGCGAAGGCGGCUUACUGGCUCAUACUGGACGCUGAGGUGCGAAAGCGUGGGGAGCAAACAGGAUUAGAUACCCCCGUAGUCCCUGUCUCUUAUAC
Molecule: ribosomal RNA, 301 nt
Filed under: uncultured bacterium
Lineage: Bacteria
Description: partial 16S ribosomal RNA
Rfam family: Bacterial small subunit ribosomal RNA
Source: RNAcentral